Molecule: ribosomal RNA, 253 nt
Filed under: uncultured bacterium
Lineage: Bacteria
Description: partial 16S ribosomal RNA
Rfam family: Bacterial small subunit ribosomal RNA
Source: RNAcentral
GACGAACCGUGCGAACGUUGUUCGGAUUCACUGGGCUUAAAGGGCGCGUAGGCGGGCGGUCAAGUCUGGGGUGAAAUCUUCCGGCCCAACCGGAACAUGGCCCGGGAUACUGGCCGCCUCGAGGGGGGUAGGGGCAUGCGGAACUUCCGGUGGAGCGGUGAAAUGCGUAGAUAUCGGAAGGAACGCCGGCGGCGAAAGCGGCGUGCUGGACCCCCCCUGACGCUGAGGCGCGAAAGCCAGGGGAGCAAACGGG